AGGAUAAGUAAACAAAACAGCGCGAAAAUUUAAGAAAAGGCAAGUUAAGCUUCGUAACAACUGGACAGAACAAGACAUUCAAGACGCUCUUCACAAGUUAGAUUUGGUUCCUGGAAAGUCAAUAUGUGGUGUUGCCGCCCAAUAUGGCCUUAAGGAAUCAAUGCUCCGAAGAUUUGGGCAAAGGUGGUUGCAGGUACUGAAAAGCAUGUCAAUUAUGUAUGUGCGACACAGAGACAGAAGCUCAAUUAGCUGAUUGCAUUACCGUGAUUUGCAACCUAGGGUUUAGUUCCACAUUACACGAAGUAAUUGAUGUUGUCCAUGAUAACAUUGUUGCUAACAAUAUAAAUUGUCUACAGUUCAAGAAUAGACGGCCAGACUUAAUUUGGAUGAAGAACUUCAUAAAGGGAAAUAGCCUAAGCCACAAAAAAGCGGAAAUGAUUAACAGCGCAAGGAAAGCAAACACGUCCAACCCCUUCAUCAUUUGUGACUUUAUCAGUCAAGUUGAUGAGAUAUUGAGAACACAUCUAGAUCUUGAUGCUAGCCGUAUUUGGAACUGCGACGAGUCCAGUUUUUCUACUGAUCCGUAGCAAGAAAAGUAGUAUUGGUUAAAGGUCAACGAGCUACAAAACUUUGCUUCGAAGCCAGUCACGAAAAUGUUAAUAUACUCGCAGUGUGUAGUGCUUUAGAAGUCUUCUUGGAUCCAAAGAUUGUUUUCAAAAACAAAAGCAUGCAACAAUCUUGGUUCGAAGAUAAAACCCUUCCAAAUACAUACUACGGGAAAUCCGAAAAUGAUAUGCAAUGAUAUCACAGUGCUGUCCCGAUAUCACAAACCUAAAGGAAAGGGCAAAAAAGCUCGUAAAAUGGCAAGUAUCGAAGGGUUUUUUGAGAGUUUUUUAAGGAAAAGGGCAGAAUUUAGUUCGAGAUAUUGAGAGUUCUUACCCAACCGAAUGCAAAAUAAAAUUCUGUUAGGGUAGAUGGAAACUAACACAUUCGCGGAAUGGUUCGACUACUCUGUAAAUUUUGUAACAUACCAUUGCUCAUGAUGGCCAUUUAACACAUGUGUCCAACCAAGUAAUCCGACUGGCAGUUGAGGAAAAUAUCGUACUGUUGAAAUUUCCUUAGCACGUUACCGAAGUAAUGCAACCUUUGGAUGUGUCUUGUUUCAGGCCUCUUAGACGCUUAUGGGUAAAGUUUUACAUCAACGCAUCAAUGAGCAGGGAAUAAAAAAUUUAUUAAUGAAGUCGGAGUUUGAUGAAGCCUAAAAAUGCCAUAAGUGGUUUUGUGACAACAAGUUUAUUACUUUAAUGAUGGUUUAGAUCUCACCUUUAAAAUAAAUUUCCAUUUCUACAAUACUGUAUUUUGAUUAUUAUACACUUAGGUAUUUAUCCUGUCAAUCCCGAAAAAUAGCCAAAGGAUCACUUAGACCCAAGACUUCUGCAAAAAUACGAAGUCUGAAAGCAGUCUGGAGAACCUUUGGACUGGGGCAAACUGGUUUAUUUGGAAACCAAAAUGGGAACUUGGCCCUACUGAAGUAACAACAACCCCAACCAGCAGUGUUAAAAUCUUUCAAGAGGGGUUCCUUGAUUAGGUAAAGCCACCAAAAAGCACAAUCAACUUAAAAGACGAAAAUUAGACGUCAGAGGAAAGUUAAAUUUGAUGUUGCUUUAUUUUACUUUGGUGUCACUCGCCUUCUGUUGCCCUACAUUGCUUAAUAUUUUUUUGAAUCUAAAAAAUGAAAGACAUGGAUUUGUAAAAACAUUCACCUUUAACAAUUUAGGUAAUUAUGCAAAAGGAAUUUCUGGAGGAGAUGGAGCGAAAAGAACAAGAACGGAGGGAAAAAUAAAGCAAACCGAAGGGAAGGGAAGGAGAGGAAGAAAGAAGGUGGAGGAAAUGGUAGAAGAAGAAGAGUAAAAGGAUAUUACUGUCCCUGACUAUGGUUCAGAAGAAGUUCAGGAUGAAGAAGAGGAAGAAGAAGAAGAGGAAGAAGAAGAAGACGAAGAAGAAGAAGAAGUGGCAAAACAACCAAAUCUAAGUCUGCCUUCUAUGGAAGCGUGCUGGAAAACCCUUGCAAAUAAGGAAGAAAUUGUUAAAAAGUAGUUUGGUUUUAUUUACACUUCCAAGAAGUCUGAAAAUCUAUUUAUUGGAAAGGCAAAAGGACCUUUUUUUAAUGAUCAAGGAGAUAUCACUGCCCUGGAAUUGGACUGCUUAGAACAGAAAUUGGGAGUGACAGACUGUAUCUUUCGGAAAUCUAAAAACGCUGACAUGGAUGACUUUCCGGCAAAAAAUGUAAUCUGUGGUCCCCUCGACGCCAAAUUUUUAUCGCACAGGCAUUGGGAGAUACCUUGAUAUUUAGCAGUGAGGAAAGCCUUCAAAAGUGUGAAGAAAAUUGACCAGCAGAGGGGUUACGAUUGUUUGUGUGCAAGACAUUAAAAACCAAAGAUGUUACUUUUAAUGUUGAAUCAAGCACCUCAAACACUGUUGUUCUCGUAUGUGUCAGGGGUUUUCGCGGUUGUUUUGAUCAUUUAUAUUGUGCGAACUUUGAAAAAACGUAUUUUCUAUCUAUAUAUAGAAACGUUAAAUGCUCCUGCUUAAUGACACCCUUGCGUCUGUUUAAAUAGAUGUGCGGAAUGAUUAAAAUAAACGUGCAGAGUAGCAUAAUUCUCAAAAUUCUGCAUUUUUUUAAAAAACAGUUGCGGAAUUAAUGCAUAUUUUAAUUUCAAAUAUUCUGCCCAACAAAAAGGCCUACAUUAUGUGCUGAAACAAUAGUAAUGAGAUAAAUUUAAUGAUGCUGUUACAAGAAUCCAAUAAGGAAUUCACACAAUACAAUGAAUUGUAAGUAGAAAAAACGCCGCAAAAGAAAUUAGAAAAUUUCAAAAAGUGCGAAAUGUUUACCUUAACUGACUAUAUAUGUGAGGGCGUUUUUUUUUUUUUUUGGGGGGGGUUCUUUCAAAGUUUUCAUCUGUAUCCAAUAUAUUGUGGUUUAAAUGUUUUUUGCUGACAUCAUCAACCCGUUUAUUCCAAAACUGAUUCAGGGACCCAGGUUUGAAAAACUUACCCAAGUUAGUCCCGGUGAAAAAUGACUGAUGUCACCACCUUGUUUCCAAAUUAUUUGGCCUCAAAGUUUUAGUGCAUUGUAACAUCUUUUUUAAUUUAUUAUAAGAUAUUGUAGCUCCUGUUACUUUUGUCACUGGAACUUGCUUUGUAUUUUAGCAUUUGUUUUAUUGCAAUUUUAUUGCGAAAUGUUUACCUUAACUGACUAUAUAUGUGAGGGCGUUUUUUUUUUUUUUUGGGGGGGGGGGGUUCUUUCAAAAUUUCAUCUGUAUCCAAUAUAUUGUGGUUUAAAUGUUUUUUGAUGACAUCAUCAACCCCUUUAUUCCAAAACUGAAUCAGGGACCCAGGUUUGAAAAACUUACCCAAGUUAGUCCCGGUGAAAAAUGACUGAUGUCACCACCUCGUUUCCAAAUUAUUUGGCCUCAAAGUUUUAUUGCAUUGUAACAUCUUUUUUAAUUUAUUAUAAGAUAUUGUAGCUCCUAUUACUUUUGUCACUGGAACUUGCUUUGUAUUUUAGCGUUUGUUUUAUUGCAACAAACAAAUAACUAAAAUAUUCACAUUUUAAACACUGAUAAUUACAUUCUAAUAUUUUUGCCAUUAUCAAAAACGAUUUAAUAAAUUACCAGGUUUUUGUAGGCUUGUACAAGUCAAUUUCUUCAUUAGAUUGCUCAC
This is a long non-coding RNA of Hydractinia symbiolongicarpus, 3723 nucleotides long. RefSeq lists it as uncharacterized. The transcript has 6 exons. Lineage: Eukaryota; Metazoa; Cnidaria; Hydrozoa; Anthoathecata; Hydractiniidae. The record is from RefSeq and is a predicted model, not a curated record.